This 498-nucleotide ribosomal RNA is filed under the name uncultured bacterium. RNAcentral's name for it is "partial 16S ribosomal RNA". It matches the Rfam family "Bacterial small subunit ribosomal RNA", at positions 28 to 507 of the family's 1533-position model. The record is from RNAcentral.
GACGAACGCUGGCGGCGUGCCUAAUACAUGCAAGUCGAACGAGAGCAACCGGUGCUUGCACUGGUCAAUCUAGUGGCGAACGGGUGAGUAACACGUGGGUAACCUGCCCAUCAGAGGGGGAUAACAUCCGGAAACGGAUGCUAAAACCGCAUAGGUCUUCGAACCGCAUGGUUUGAAGAGGAAAAGAGGCGCAAGCUUCUGCUGAUGGAUGGACCCGCGGUGCAUUAGCUAGUUGGUGAGGUAACGGCUCACCAAGGCCGUGAUGCAUAGCCGACCUGAGAGGGUGAUCGGCCACAUUGGGACUGAGACACGGCCCAAACUCCUACGGGAGGCAGCAGUAGGGAAUCUUCCGCAAUGGACGCAAGUCUGACGGAGCAACGCCGCGUGAGUGAAGAAGGUUUUCGGAUCGUAAAACUCUGUUGUUUGAGAAGAACAAGUGCUAGAGUAACUGUUAGCGCCUUGACGGUAUCUAACCAGAAAGCCACGGCUAACUACGUG